GAGGUAGUUGUAAAAGAUACAAAGAGCUACCUCAGUUCAGGAUUCACACAUUAGUCAGAACAUGGAGCCUCAUGUCUUCAUGGGACCAUUCAUACAAAAAUGAAGUUUCAGCCUCUAACAUAAGAAAGGAAAAGAUCAAGAGCUCACACAGCAUUCGUGCAAUAAUAGAGUACUUCUGGUGUAUCCACAACAUGGCCCCUGCUUGCAUCACACUGUUCUGUGUAUGUUCAUGCAUGAGUGGCUGUAGGAACAGAGGCAUGGCUACGUAAGGAGCAUGAUACAGACAUAAAAGACAGAGUGGCUUCCCAUAUGGAUUCUGGAUAAAAGGACGUGAGAACUGAAGUAGUAACUAUGGUACUGAUGGAGACACUGUUCUGCUCUGGGCUCCUUUAGAUGUCAUGCUCCUCAGAAGAGCCUCCUACUGUGGGCAUAUGUCUUAGAAGCCCCAUUGGACCUUAUCAAACUUCCCACAUUCUGUUGUCUUGUUUUAGAUCUGAACUUCACAGAAUCACAGGGGAUGGCACUGUACCCUUCUGUGCUGAAAAGAGCUUGAGAAGAAAACUGCAUGAUACAACAAGUAGAGAAGUGGGAAAGGGUAAAGGAACAAUCUUCCAUGGAAGUGCUCAGAGACAAGUAUUUGUUUCGGAGGAGCUAGAAAGGAAGCUGAAGCACUAAGAAACUGUGAUACAUUUGUUAGCCUUUUGUUAUCCAAGCUCAAGAAGUCCUAUGUCCACAGCUGGCAGAAGACCUCUUAACACACAGCAUAACAGCACCCUGCUGAAGAAGGGGGAUCCAUGUAAGAAAGGCAAUCGCUUGAAAAAAAUGCUGUCACAGUCAAUAAUUAAGCUGUGUAACUGUGCAAAUACAGAUAACUUUGUAUGCCACAAACUCUGUUUCCUGCUGGGAAAAUUAGCAGUGACUGAGGGGUGCCUCUGUGUCAGCAACAGGAAAGCAUGAGGCUUAUUUAAAUAUGUGCAAUGGAAAACGAGAUGGGGACAUAAAACACAAUUGGCUGCUGAGGUUCUAGAUGACAGUGGGAUAUAUCAAUUUCAUUAAGAGAUUUGUUGAAACCCCUGUUUGUGUCUUUGUUAGACACUACCUUGCUGUAUGUCUGUUAUUUAUUUUACUUUUCCAGGUUAAGUGCAGCAAGACAGCAAUACAGUCCAAAGGAAUAGUAGCAGGGGAAGAGGAGAUCAGUGGAUAAGAGAGAUCCCCAGUGAAAAUUCCCACCUCACAUCAGCUUCCAGGCUAACAAAGGUUUGUAAGUGCUAGUUUCAGGCACACGACUCCCAUCCUGCCCAUGGGUCUAUCGUGAGCAGUAGUUGGCUUGAAUUCCAAGAAACUAUACUCCAGAUGUUAACUCCAGAUGAGAUUGUGCAAUGUGAAAAGGGUGACAGUUUCUCUAAAAACUAGAUUGCCCUGCUCCCAUCUAUUGCUUCCAGGUCAACCGUAGCAUUGUACCAUCAGAUUUGUUUACUCAGUUCAGGAUAACGGUCUAUUAAAGAAAAUAUUUGGCAUAUUCUGUCACUGUUAGCUAUUGACACAAGAUGCAAUCCUGCAAUUGCUUUACCUUUUUACAGAAAAGAGAGACAAGUGGUAUCUAUAUGGAAAGGCCACCCCUAGUUUUCAAACUUGCUCAUGCUGUUACUAAGAGAUUCCACUUUUUGAACCUAAAGACCUCUAUUACCCUCAUUCGCUAUUAUAUGCCAUCCCUGUGGGAACAAGUCAUUACUUACAUGGAAACAUAACGUUAGAAAAGAAUGAAACAUUUCUAGCAGCUUUGAGUCCAGUUUGGUGGGUUAAGAAAAAGGUGAACCAUCCCCACGAAAUGAGUUUGUUCUCCAAUAACCAGUUUAAUAUAUGUAUAUUCUGAGAGGGAAUGUUCUGGUGGUGGGCAAAUGGAUAAAAAUUGCCCAUUGUAUCAUUUUUUUUUUCUUCCCCCCCCAAGCUUUCUAUGCAGUAACACUUACUCCUCACCAGAACUACUAUGUUCUUCUGAGUUUCAGGUUCAUAUUCUAAUGGAUUUCAGGUGCAUAACUGAAAUCAGCUGGGAGACAGAAACCUAAAUAGUUUUGAGUAUUGGGCCUAAUAGUUACAUGUAUAUCCUCAACUCCAGGUAUUUCCGGAAUAGAAAAAAAAAAAGUCAAAUAAAUUUUAAGAUGCAGA
Molecule: long non-coding RNA, 2166 nt
Filed under: Anser brachyrhynchus (Pink-footed goose)
Lineage: Eukaryota; Metazoa; Chordata; Aves; Anseriformes; Anatidae
Description: lncRNA (ENSABRG00000016265.1)
Source: RNAcentral